This 435-nucleotide ribosomal RNA is filed under the name uncultured bacterium. Its description in RNAcentral is "bacterial SSU rRNA". It matches the Rfam family "Bacterial small subunit ribosomal RNA", at positions 355 to 786 of the family's 1533-position model. The record is from RNAcentral.
UGAGGAAUAUUGGUCAAUGGGCUGAGGCCUGAACCAGCCAAGUCGCGUGAGGGAAGACGGUCCUAUGGAUUGUAAACCUCUUUUGUCGGGGAGCAACGACGUCACGAGUGACGGAAGUGAGAGUACCCGAAGAAAAAGCAUCGGCUAACUCCGUGCCAGCAGCCGCGGUAAUACGGAGGAUGCGCGCGUUAUCCGGAUUUAUUGGGUUUAAAGGGUGCGUAGGCGGACUGUUAAGUCAGCGGUAAAAACUUCGGGGGCCCAACCCCGUCAUGCCGUUGAAACUGGCGGACUAGAGUGGGCGAGAAGUAUGCGGAAUGCGAGGUGUAGCGGUGAAAUGCAUAGAUAUCACGCAGAACUCCGAUUGCGAAGGCAGCAUACCGGCGCCCGACUGACGCUGAGGCACGAAAGCGUGGGGAUCGAACAGGAUUAGAUACC